This 438-nucleotide ribosomal RNA is filed under the name Salmonella enterica subsp. enterica serovar Stanley. RNAcentral describes it as "bacterial SSU rRNA". It matches the Rfam family "Bacterial small subunit ribosomal RNA", at positions 1 to 435 of the family's 1533-position model. The record is from RNAcentral. Lineage: Bacteria; Pseudomonadati; Pseudomonadota; Gammaproteobacteria; Enterobacterales; Enterobacteriaceae.
AAAUUGAAGAGUUUGAUCAUGGCUCAGAUUGAACGCUGGCGGCAGGCCUAACACAUGCAAGUCGAACGGUAACAGGAAGCAGCUUGCUGCUUCGCUGACAAGUGGCGGACGGGUGAGUAAUGUCUGGGAAACUGCCUGAUGGAGGGGGAUAACUACUGGAAACGGUGGCUAAUACCGCAUAACGUCGCAAGACCAAAGAGGGGGACCUUCGGGCCUCUUGCCAUCAGAUGUGCCCAGAUGGGAUUAGCUUGUUGGUGAGGUAACGGCUCACCAAGGCGACGAUCCCUAGCUGGUCUGAGAGGAUGACCAGCCACACUGGAACUGAGACACGGUCCAGACUCCUACGGGAGGCAGCAGUGGGGAAUAUUGCACAAUGGGCGCAAGCCUGAUGCAGCCAUGCCGCGUGUAUGAAGAAGGCCUUCGGGUUGUAAAGUACUU